AAAAAAAACCAGAAAAGAAAUGC
RNAcentral lists this ribosomal RNA (23 nucleotides) under Stereophaedusa cymatodes. Its description in RNAcentral is "Megalophaedusa cymatodes partial 5.8S rRNA". The record is from RNAcentral. Lineage: Eukaryota; Metazoa; Mollusca; Gastropoda; Stylommatophora; Clausiliidae.